CCGCCCUGCCAGCUCCGAAGCCCGUGUCCUUGUCCUAAGCUCACCUCUCCUCCCUUUUCUGCCCCCAGCUGGCCCCAGGCAGAGGAGCAGAGACAGAAAGUGCAUGAGAUUGAACUUGGCAGGAUCUUUCUGGAAGCUGUGCUGAGGAUGGGGAGGACAGGAAGAAGCAGCUGGGGAGAAUUUGGUGAGCCUGACCCCUGCAGUAGGGCAGGUGCAAUGCUGCUGAGGAAAAUGAAGCUGAUCCUCGGGCUUCUGCUGUCCAUGGCAUGGCCCAUGCUCCAUGCAAACAUCACCCUGACUGGGAAACAAAGUUAGGAAGACUCUCUGUCUGCUGUGACAUUGGACUGUAUUUUCCAGAAGCCCAUGCAAGUUGGUUGGCCCCUGGAGACUUCCUCUGCCUAGAAAAAUCGGUCUCUAAGAAGCCUCUACUGCAAAAAAAAAAAAAAAAGUAAUAAAUGUGCUACUUAAGGGUUAAAAAAAGUCAACACUGGCUAUGGAAUCAUUUUGGGUGCACUAUCUCUAAAUCACUUGACCAUUUCUAAAAUAUGGCCUUGGAUAAGACUUCUGAAUAAUGACUGUACAUAGAGUUUCGUGCAUUUGACAAAACAAAACAAACAAAACAAAUGAAAGGUUGCAAAAUUUGUCCCUGACCUGAAUUUUAAAAUUUAUUUUAUGACUCUUCUGAACCAGCUCAUUACUUUACUACUGGGAUAUCUCAUAUCAUCCCUGAGAGGGGCCAGCAGGCGAUUUUGCCCCAUCACAAAACAUCGAUGAUAACAAUUUUACAACCUGUGGGACUUUAGGAAGAAAAUGAUGGAAGGCAUUAAAAUAGACUAUAGAAAUGUGAUUCAGAUUGCUAGGAAAGAGUUCACCAACUGCUAUAUAACAAGCUAUAUAACUAUUUUGAUUACACCCCAAAUAUUCCCAAUCCUU
RNAcentral lists this long non-coding RNA (933 nucleotides) under Phascolarctos cinereus (koala). Its description in RNAcentral is "lncRNA (ENSPCIG00000029503.2)". Lineage: Eukaryota; Metazoa; Chordata; Mammalia; Diprotodontia; Phascolarctidae. The record is from RNAcentral.